GCCGGCGUAGCUCAGCCUGGUAGAGCAUCUGUCUCGUAAGCAGAGGGUCACGCGUCCAAAUCGCGUCGCCGGCU
Molecule: transfer RNA, 74 nt
Filed under: Nitrososphaerota archaeon
Lineage: Archaea; Thermoproteati; Nitrososphaerota
Also listed under: 1 other name
Description: Thaumarchaeota archaeon tRNA-Thr
Rfam family: tRNA
About the family: Transfer RNA (tRNA) molecules are approximately 80 nucleotides in length. Their secondary structure includes four short double-helical elements and three loops (D, anti-codon, and T loops).
Source: RNAcentral